CUUUUGAUUAACUAAUUAUUAUAUCACUUUUUAAUAAAAUUUUAACUCUUUUAGCUGCUUAACCAAUGCGCCGGGAACACGGGUUAAUAUUGUCCUAUCUUUAAUACCUAUUCAGUUGAGUUAUUUAAUCCUGAAUAAUUUAACUGACCUAUUUGAAUUUCAUGAGCAAGACAAGUCUAUAUAUGUUUUUGUGAAAGUAAGUGAAUUUUAAUGCAUGAGUAAUAAAUAGAAUCUCUAACCAUAAAAAUAAAGGACGAAAGUCAGGUCACAUUUUGAUAAGUAGUAUGGUCAUCAUAUUUCACAGGGAUAUAAAUUUCAUAAGCUGGCUAGCCCAAAGUGAUUUUGAUGAUAGACCUUGAAAUGAGAUUCACUUUCUAGUGACAUUUAUGUCACAUGUUUCUUAUUCCUUUCCAUUAUUGCAGGGCAGAUUCACUUUCUAGUCUUUACUCCAGAAAGACCUAGCUAUAUGGAGUAUGCUGUAACAAAGUUCCCAAAGGAAACUCUGAAAAACCAGUACUUACUGUCCGAAUCCCAAGCCUUGACUGUUGACUCAUACAUACCUCACACAGGAAAAUAUUUAUACUCUCUCUCCAUUGUAUAGGUGACAUUUAGCAUGGGAAAGGGGAAUUGUUUCCCAUCAUGGAAAAACAAAUCUUAAUCAUUAAUCAAAGAGAGACACUGAUUUUACCAUAGUCUCUCUACACUAAAUUUUUUUUCCUUUGUCUUCAACCUUAGAAUCAUCAACCAGACAUCAAUAAACCACCAGCACCAUCGAUUUUGAUAUUAACUUUUCAUUAUAAUUGCUAGAACAAGUAUUUACGACAACAAUCAUUUUUCUUAUUAAGAUGUGUCGAAACACAAAAACUUAGUUUGAUUCAAUGUAGAAUUAACUUUGUCUUACUGCUACUCAAUAUAUGAUAUAAAUGCUUUCUAUUUAUACUAGAUAGGAAUCAUAUUGUAAUAUCAUGUAAAUUUUAGCAUCACCAU
Molecule: long non-coding RNA, 987 nt
Filed under: Medicago truncatula (barrel medic)
Lineage: Eukaryota; Viridiplantae; Streptophyta; Magnoliopsida; Fabales; Fabaceae
Description: long non-coding RNA (MTRU_LNC000754)
Source: RNAcentral